RNAcentral lists this transfer RNA (72 nucleotides) under Astyanax mexicanus (Mexican tetra). It matches the Rfam family "tRNA". Rfam says of the family: Transfer RNA (tRNA) molecules are approximately 80 nucleotides in length. Their secondary structure includes four short double-helical elements and three loops (D, anti-codon, and T loops). Lineage: Eukaryota; Metazoa; Chordata; Actinopteri; Characiformes; Acestrorhamphidae. The record is from Rfam by way of RNAcentral.
GGGGACGUAGCUUAGUGGCAGUGCGCUUGCUUUGAUCGUAUGAGGUCCCGGGGUCAAAUCCCGGCAUCUACA